GAACACGAAAUCGCCUUCAGUCGCCGCUCAACUGUAGCGCUCCAGAAGAGGUGAGAAAGUCUCUGCUGACCUGAGUAGGGCUAGUUUGGAAGCCCACCUUCCCGACCUUUUUCCCCGGGCAGGCGCCCCACGCGGAAAUCUGACCCGACCCACCCCCGCGUUUUCCCCCGGGACGGCGCUCCCCACCUCCCGAGUCCGGGCGGCGCUUCCCUGCGCCUCUGCCUCCGCCUCCCGAUUCGACUCCUCCUCCGCCUCCCGAGCUGCACCGCCCGCCCGCCCCUCCGCCUUCCGUCCAGGCUGCGCCGUCCUCCAUCGCCUCCCCGGAUCUCCUCCAUCUCCUCCCCGUCCAGCCACCAUCGUCUGCCUCCCCGUCCAGCACCGCUCGUCCGUCUCCCCGUCGAGCCGCCGCGCCGUCCGCGCUCGCCGGCGACCCGGACUACCUCCAGGACCUCUGCGUCGCCGAACUCAACUCCGUUGUUUGCUGUUCAGGGACAGAUCCAGAGAAGGCAUGAGAACAACUCCAUUACUAUUUCCCCCUUGUUCCGUCGUGUAGAAUCAAAAUCCAUCCAAAACAAAAUCAAAUAGCCACAUGCUACCGAUACGUAGUCCGUGCCGUCGACAUGAAGUUCGUAGCUUGCUGAAACGGCUGGAUUUUGUUUUGUCAGACCCCAAGAUUGAAGCCAGGUUUUACUGAAUUUUAUGUGCUUGCUAGUUGCAUCAGAUUACUCUUUGCAAUUUCUUUAUCAGAUUACUCUUUGCAAUUUCUUUAUCAGAUUACUCUUUGCAUCAGAACUAGGCAUCAGAUUACUCUUUGCAUCAGAUUGUUGUUGUUGUUGUAUUACUCUUUGCAUCAGAACUAGGCAUAUAGAUUUGGCGUAAACUUGUUCUAAAUUGUGUGUUUUCAGAUGCAUAAAAGACAGUUCACUUGUAAUUGGAAAAACGUAAUAUCCAGUGUAAUAAUUAUCUGAAUCCAGAUGCACAUUGACAUUUAAUAUCCAACAGUAUCCUGCAACAGCAUGCUAGAUCUGCAUUGUUGGCGACUGUUGAAACAUAUGCACUACUGAUUAUAUGACAGUGACAAAAGUUAAUUUUUGGUGACAACUCUUAGGAUUGCCGUAAGGUUUAGACGUCCACCAUGUGGGAGGUGUGGACUUGUGGUACAACAUCUUGCUGUUUUGUUCUACCCCUAAUCUUGGAGGUGCAAGCAAACCCAUGUGCUAAACUUGUGUGUGCCUGCCUUGGAUUGGGUUUGCAAUCAAACCCGUGUACAUAUAAUGCUUGCAAUAACCAGCAUUUCAUGUUCUUGCAUAUAUUCCAUCUGUUAGAAUAGCAUGGUAGCACGUCAAGGAUGUACCCAUGGGCUAGUUUGGGAAGGAGGGGAUUAAUCCCUGGGGCAUCGCUCCCCUAUGGGGGGACCCCCCUGCGCAUAUGUUUAUGUGUGGUUAUAAAUCCAAUAGUGCUAUCCUCACAUGAGUACAUCCUAUGAAAAUCCGUAGAAUGCAUGAACUUCACAGAAAUUUGAGGAAACAAUUAGAUUUCAGUGGGAGCGAUAAUAAAUUCCGACAUCUGAAGAAAAUUUGUCGGGGUUUAUAGCCGCGCUUAAGCAUUCACAGAGUUGACCGGUUACUGCUGAGGUCAUCAGCUCUGUGCCGCCGCAGGCCGCUGCUCGACCGUCGGGGGUGAUGGAGGCGCCGGCACUGUGGAGAGUGCUCGAGUUCUAUAGCGGCAUCGGCGGCAUGAGGUACUCGCUGAUGGCAUUGGGCGCGCGGGCGGAGGUUGUGGAGGCCUUCGACAUCAACGACGUCGCCAACGACGUCUACGAGCACAACUUCGGCCACCGCCCCUGCCAGGGGAACAUUCAAACGCUCACUGCUAGUGAUCUAGACAAAUACAAGGCACAUGCAUGGCUUCUUUCUCCUCCAUGUCAGCCAUACACACGGCAAGGCCUUCAGAAGCAUUCAGCUGAUGCUCGUGCGUUUUCCUUCAUCAAGAUUCUUAACCUCAUGCAAAACAUGAGCUAUCCUCCACAAAUGUUAUUUGUGGAAAAUGUAGUCGGAUUUGAGGUUUCUGAUACACAUGACCAGUUGCUGGAGGUCCUUUCAAGUUUGAAUUUUAACUUACAAGAAUUCAUCCUAAGCCCAUUACAGUUUGGUGUCCCAUAUUCCAGACCUCGCUACUUUUGUUUGGCGAAACGAGAACCUAUGCGAUUUCAAAAUGCAUCAUUCAACAAUAAGUUGCUCCGGAAACCUAUGUGCCUAAGCCAGACAAUGGACAGUACAUCACAGGAUGGCGACCACCGAACUGAAGAAGAGCUGGAUCCAGUAUGUAAACCAGUAAAAGACUUUCUUGUCAAGGAGGCUGAUGGAGCCAUGGAGGCAUUCAGAACGAAAUAAUUUUGCAAGACUACAUAAUCCCGCUAAACUUGAUUGAGCGGUGGGGGAGUGCUAUGGACAUUGUGUACCCUGAAUCCAAGCGGUGCUGUUGUUUCACUAAAAGCUAUUAUCGCUAUGUGAAGGGGACAGGCUCCUUGUUGGCUACAUCUGAAAACCUCAAAUGGGUUCCUGAAGAGAAGCUUGCAAUUUCUUCCCUGAAGGAGUUAGGCCUACGAUUUUUCACCCCUCGAGAGGUCGCCAAUUUCCAUUCAUUCCCUUCAAGCUUCUGCUUCCCAGAUCACAUAAGCCUUAGGCAACAGUAUGCUAUGCUGGGCAACAGUCUGAGUGUAGCAGUUGUGGGUCCUUUGCUGCACUAUCUGUUUGCUGAGGCAUAGAGAAGUCCGCCAGCCAGCUGGUGAUGUUAACCUGACACAGACACUUUGGCUACUAGUUGCUGUGGUCAAAAUUUUUCAUAACUUAGCAAGGUUUUAGGAUGUUUGGUUAGUGGAACACUUCGAAAAGAAGGCUGCUACCUGCAAAGGCGCAACAUAUAUCACUGAAACUCUGGCGGAUCUAACCUACAAGAGAAGCUGUUUCUGCAUUGCCUUUCCCCCAUGCGCACAUCGUCAUGUUGAAUACUUGAAUGAUGGCUGGAAUUUUGACAUGUAUUCGUUGAUGUGUAUCUUGAUGAGGUUAUUGUAAUGAUUGUGGAUUUGAGCACAAGGAACUUCCACUGAAUCCUGUAGCCAAUUAUUAAUAGCGAAUAUAUUUGCUUUUUUUUUCAACGUA
RNA transcript from Panicum virgatum (switchgrass), 3161 nucleotides. It is a transcript of the gene named tRNA (cytosine(38)-C(5))-methyltransferase 2-like, with no coding region annotated. The record is from RefSeq and is a predicted model, not a curated record. The transcript is spliced from 13 exons. Lineage: Eukaryota; Viridiplantae; Streptophyta; Magnoliopsida; Poales; Poaceae.